AUUAAAUAAUUAAUUUCUCAAAAUCAAAGAAUUAUAGUGAAAUAUAGGAUAAAACUCAGGGACACAAUUGUAAAUUUUCCUUACAAAAAUCAGUAGUAGAGACAGAUUUUUGGUGUAGAUAAAAAAUGGAAUUUUGAUUGCUACCCACAGACAAUUUGAAAAUUCUCAUAUUCUUUUCAAUUUUGGAGUUGGGCUUCCAUUCUUUGUUGGGCUGUGGGCACUGUUUUCAUAGGGAAAGCUUCAGAGGUGGCUGAGCAAACCUCCAUGUAUAUAUAACAACUUUACGGCCAUGCUUCUUGAAACCCAUAUACCUUCCUUCUUCAACCUUAUUAAAUUAUAAUUAAUUCACUUGAUCUCCAGUCUUGAACAAGGUGAAAAGGAAUCAACAAGAAUGCGUUCAACCGGCGAAACUCAGAUGACUCCUACUCAGGUAUCAGAUGAAGAAGCGAUUUUGUUUGCUAUGCAACUAGCUAGCGCAUCAGUGUUGCCUAUGGUGCUGAAAUCUGCCAUUGAGCUCGACCUACUUGAAAUCAUGGCUAAAGCAGGUCCUGGUGCAUUCUUGUCGCCAUCCGACAUCGCUUCUCAGCUACCCACCACGAACCCAGAUGCGCCGGUGAUGUUGGACCGUAUCUUGCGACUCUUGGCCAGCUACUCCGUUCUUACUUAUUCUCUGAGAACCCUUCCUGAUGGCAAAGUUGAGAGGCUCUAUGGUCUUGCCCCUGUUUGCAAAUUCUUGACCAAGAAUGAAGAUGGUGUGUCUAUUGCCGCUCUUUGUCUCACGAACCAGGAUAAAGUCCUCAUGGAAAGCUGGUAAUCUUUCUCUGCAACUCUCUCUCUCUUUUUUUGGGUCAAGAAUGCCAAUCUACUAUGCGACUCUCUUGACUCUUUGUUUAAUUGAGUUCUUAAUUCUCAACUUGUUUUAGCACUUCAAAUAUAAAUGGGUACUUAGAAUGAAAUUUAAUUUCAAGAAAACCACAAACUUUUGAAUGUCUAACAUGGGAUUUUUUUUUAAUUAUUUAUAUUAUAAUAUUUUGUAUGAGAAUUUGGUACUUAGUUAAAAGAAGCUACAAGUGAAAUAAGAAAAUUAAGAGACAAACUGGUGGAUGAUUAAUGAGAAAAGGCUUACCAUGCCUAGAAUGAUUGGCGUUUACUAUUUAUUCAUUGCUACUUUUUAAUAGUUUAUGUGUUAAACAGGCUUUGUUUGUCGAUAACUUUUAACAUUGUGUUUAUUAUUUUGAUUAAGAUCAAAAUAUUGAACUUCUCUUAUAUAUAAUGUUUUGUGGCAUAUGUGUUUUAGAAGUUGAAAGAAUAGAUCAUGAAAUAUUACAUUUUUUAUAGUAUUGUGACCAUAAUUAAAAAGAUGAUACAAUCAUUUUUACAUUUAACAGUUAAUCCAAUAGUUAUUUUUACCGAAUAUUUCUGCUUUAAAUCAUUAUAUAAACAACUAACAGCUAUUAAAAUAACUAACUGGUAUUAAAACAACCAAUAUUACCGAACAGGGUCUAGAGAUGGUAAUUCAUACUUAUUCCAGUAAUCCAUUUCAAAUUUAUAACAGACAAUUAAUUGAAAAAAUGGAUUUGUUUAAGGAAGUAUUUUCAACUAUAUUAAUAGGUGGCAACUCUUGACUAACUUGAUUUUCAUUUUAAAGUUGAAAGAAUAAAUUUUAUUUUUAAAUAAAUUAAUUUUUUCUGAAAAAUAUUAACAUUUUGACUUCAAACGACCCAUAACUCAUAAAAUGACAAGAAAUUGUUUUUAAUCGAUUAUCAGCAACAACAUUUAUCAAUUUUAUUGGUUAUAUUAAAAGACAAAGACACUUUAGACAAUUGCAAUUUACUUGCCUGCCUUUAUCCAUAGAUUCGAAUUCCCAGGAAAGUGCUUCUAAUCAAAUGCAG
RNAcentral lists this unclassified non-coding RNA (1892 nucleotides) under Hevea brasiliensis (rubber tree). Lineage: Eukaryota; Viridiplantae; Streptophyta; Magnoliopsida; Malpighiales; Euphorbiaceae. The record is from RNAcentral.